Molecule: non-coding RNA, 29 nt
Filed under: Mus musculus (house mouse)
Lineage: Eukaryota; Metazoa; Chordata; Mammalia; Rodentia; Muridae
Source: RNAcentral
UGGUACCUGGCUGCCUUGGAAUGUGUUGU